Molecule: unclassified non-coding RNA, 777 nt
Filed under: Hevea brasiliensis (rubber tree)
Lineage: Eukaryota; Viridiplantae; Streptophyta; Magnoliopsida; Malpighiales; Euphorbiaceae
Source: RNAcentral
UUUUUCUUUCUCUUCAAUUCUGAAUUUUUUGCCAGCCAUUUUGAUAAGAAAAACCAGCCAAAUGCACUUGACUAUAGAUUGUUAGUCCAUUUAAGCACUUGAUUGCAAAAAAUUAAAAUCUGAUUUCUUUCUUUUAAUAGUCAUUACAGCCAUGUUCUUGAAAUAAAAGCCUGUUGAUUUUGAAGCUUAGCUCACUGGAGCUUAUGUAAACUGUUUAUCUCCUGCAGUUGGUGGAUGAAGCAAUGUCAUGUCCUAUUGUUUUACUAUAUAUGCUGUGCUCUUUCCACUGGGGUAAUCCAAAAAUCAAAUCCUUAGAACCCAUUUUUUUUUAAAUUUAUUCUCCGACCUUAAAUUAAUAGGAGAUGUUUAAUCAGUAGUUCCAUCACUUUUUAAUGAUAAGAUGAAAGGUUAAACCAUUGGUAAAAUGAGAAGUUUAGUUAACAAAUUCACCUUUGCCGUAACUUCAUUACAGUCAAAACGGAUGGCGACAAUGGAAUUCAUGCUUAUAAAAAUUCAAUAUCAUUGUGUCUUACAAUCCGAUGGUUCUUUUGUUUUUCUCUUUCCAUCUUCUAAGUUUACACUAACUGUAUGUUUGUAGCAUCUUAAUAGCAGUCUAGCUUUUGUUUUAUUUGAUUUUCCAUGUUAACUGAUUGGGAAAUGUUGAAGAUUAUGUGAUUGUGUUACAUUAACUGUCUGCUCGAAAAUGGUAUGUUCAUAGGAAUUAUCCCACUUAUGCAAUUAUGAUGCCCUAGCAGGAGAAUCAAUUCCAAUCAGACU